UAAAUCCCAACAAAAAAAAAAAAGGAAAAAAAAAAAAAAGAAGUGGCCUAGUGGACAAAAUCAACAUAGAGUUUCAAACAUAACGUUUUUUCAAGCAUCAUUCAUCUUCGUUUCCUUUCCCGUCCACACACACAAGAUAUGCA
This 143-nucleotide non-coding RNA is filed under the name Pteridomonas danica. Lineage: Eukaryota; Dictyochophyceae; Pedinellales. The record is from RNAcentral.